CCUACGGGUGGCAGCAGUGAGGAAUAUUGGUCAAUGGGCGAGAGCCUGAACCAGCCAAGUCGCGUGAGGGAGUACUGUCCUAUGGGUUGUAAACCUCUUUUGUCGGGGAGCAAAAUCCGGCCGUGUUUGGCUUUGAGAGUACCCUAAGAAAAAGCAUUGGCUAACCCCGUGCCAGCAGCCGCGGUAAUACGGAGGAUGCGAGCGUUAUCCGGAUUUAUUGGGUUUAAAGGGUGCGUAGGCGGGCUGUUAAGUCAGCGGUAAAAGGGCGGGGCUCAACCCCGGCCUGCCGUUGAAACUGGCGGCAUCGAGUGGGCGAGAAGUAUGCGGAAUGCGUGGUGUAGCGGUGAAAUGCAUAGAUAUCACGCAGAACUCCGAUUGCGAAGGCAGCAUACCGGCGCCCGACUGACGCUGAGGCACGAAAGCGUGGGUAUCGAACAGGAUUAGAUACCCGGGUAGUC
This 458-nucleotide ribosomal RNA is filed under the name uncultured bacterium. Its description in RNAcentral is "partial 16S ribosomal RNA". It matches the Rfam family "Bacterial small subunit ribosomal RNA", at positions 338 to 795 of the family's 1533-position model. The record is from RNAcentral.